CCGCAGGCCGCGCUGAAGUUUUUUUUGUUAAUCCGCCGCCGCCGCCGCGCGGCGUCCCGGCGGGGCGGGGCCGACUGGGGCCGGCGGCAGCGAGAGGGGUGGAGUGAGAUCCUUUUUUCGCGGGGGGCCCGGCCAUCCAAGUGCCGGAGUCCGCG
Molecule: ribosomal RNA, 155 nt
Filed under: Alexandrium tamarense
Lineage: Eukaryota; Dinophyceae; Gonyaulacales; Pyrocystaceae
Description: partial Archaeal small subunit ribosomal RNA
Source: RNAcentral